AUGUAGCUCAGUUGGUAGAAUGCUUGCCUUGCAUGCAUGAGGUCCUGGGUUCUAGCCCCAGCAU
RNAcentral lists this transfer RNA (64 nucleotides) under Mus musculus (house mouse). It matches the Rfam family "tRNA", at positions 5 to 66 of the family's 71-position model. Rfam says of the family: Transfer RNA (tRNA) molecules are approximately 80 nucleotides in length. The record is from Rfam by way of RNAcentral. Lineage: Eukaryota; Metazoa; Chordata; Mammalia; Rodentia; Muridae. RNAcentral also lists the same sequence under 1 other name.